This 2496-nucleotide long non-coding RNA is filed under the name Homo sapiens (human). Its description in RNAcentral is "non-protein coding lnc-RDM1-1:3". Lineage: Eukaryota; Metazoa; Chordata; Mammalia; Primates; Hominidae. The record is from RNAcentral.
GAGGCCGCAACUUAGCAUCCUCAGGAAGUUACACCUUAACCUCCAGUAUUUCAAGAGGUAACAAUUUCAACACCAGGUCAGGAUCAAUCUCAGCAUUGAAUAUCACCCAUCAUUAUAGUUAAACCUCUGGACCUGGGACUUACCAUAACUCCAGAACCCACUUCAGAGGUUGAACAUUCUACACCCCUGAAGAAGACUAUAGUUCCUCCAAAGCACCCUGAGGUGACACUUCCACAUCCACACCAGGUUCAGACUUAGCAUUCAAACCUGACUCAAGUCACAUUUCAGCCUUUGGAUCUGAAACUUACCUUAACUCCAGAAUCCUCUAUGGAGGUUGAGCCUUCUUCAACCAUGCAUAAGACCCCAACUCAGCCUCCAGAGCUACCUAAGCAGGUUGUAGUUCACCCUCCUGGGUAUUAUUAUGAGAUGUCUCUUCCAACAGAAGGCCAGGAUCAAGCUAAUCAUCCAACCUCACCCAGUGUCACAGUUCAACCUUUGGAUCUGGGGCUUACCGUUACUCCACAAUUCACUACAAAGGUUGAACCUUCUAGAGCCAUGAUGACUACAGCUCCUCUGCCAAAGCACCCUAAGGUGACACUUCCACCACGAGACAAAGGUCAAUGCUCAGUAUUCAAACCAGACCCAAGUCACAGUUCAACUUUUGGACUUGGAACUUACCAUAAAUACAGAACCUACUACAGGGGUGAAACUUUUCCAACCACAGAGGAGACCUCAACUCAGCCUCCAGACCUGGGGCUUGCCAUAACUCUAGACCCCAUACAGACAUUGAACAUUCUACAGCCCUGGACAAGACUGCAGCUUCACGUCCAGACCAGGUUCAGACUCAGCUUCAAAACCUGACUGAAGUCAGAGGUCCACCUUUCAACUAGAACCUACUCAGGAUUCAUUGGUUCAGUCUGAAAGUUACACCCAAAAUAAGGCUUUAACUGCACAAGAGGAACAGAAGGCCUCCACAAGCACCAACAUAUGUGAUCUCUGUACCUGCGGAGAUGAGACGCUGUCAUGUAUUGACAUCAGCCCAAAGCAGAGGCUCCGCCAAGUGCCUGUGCCAGAGCCUAGCACCUACAAUGGCAUCUUCACCAUCUUCCCAGCAGGCGGCCCCAAACCAGCAUCCAGAGCAGGUGUAACCUUCUGCAACCCAACAGGAGGCCACAACUGAGCCUCCAGGUCCUCAUGUGAAUGCUGAACAUUCCCCAGUGAGCAGGAGCAGCCAGGUCUGCCUUCUGGGUUUUCUGGAGAAGUUGAGUCCUCUCUAGCCUGCAGGAGACCCCAGCCCAGCCUCCAGAACAUCAUCAAGUAACAGUUCCACCUCCUGGUCACCAUCAAGUUCAACACUGAGAUUUGCCCAAUGUCACUGUUAAGCCUCCAAAUAUGCAGCUCACCAUAGCAACACAGCCUACUGCAGAGGUGGGAACUUCGCCAGUCCAUCAGGAGGCUACAGCUCAGCUCUCAGGGCCAGUUAAUGAUGUGGAACAUUCUGACAUCCAGCAUGGGGCCCCGCCUCUGCCUACAGAGUCAUCGGAAGAGACUGGACCUUUACCAGUUCAACAGGAGACUUCAGCUGAAUCUCCAGAACCUACUAAAGAUGAGAACCCCUCUCCAAUACAGUAGGAGGCUGCAGGUGAGCAUCCACAGACCCCUGAGUAGGUCGAGUCUUCUCCAACCCAGCAAGAUGCCCCAGCUCAGCCUUCAGAGCUCCCUAAUGAAGUUGUAGCUCAACCUCCAGAGCAUCACAGAGUAAUAGUUUCUCCUGUAAGUCAUGAGGAAGUUCAGCCUCCAACAUUUCACCAUGUCAUUGUUAAGCCUGUGGAUCACAUGGUUACCAUGACUCCAGAGUUCACCUAUCAGGUGGAAGUUUUAACUCAACACAGGGCCCCAGCUCAGCCUUUAAUAUCCCCUGAGCAGUUUAAACAUUUGAAAGACCAGCAAAAGAUUAUCAUUCAGCAGCUAAAUACCCCUGGAAAUGAUGAACUUCCGCCAAAUCUAUCAAGAGCCCAUGACUCCAUCUCCAACUCAGCUCUCCUCAGACAUUUCAUGCUUAUCCAACGAGUGUAUAAAAGGCCCAAGAAGACAAGGUUCAGAGAGCUUCCGGAUAGCUGAACGCAUGGAGGCUGACAGGACAGUGAAGGAGAACUCAUCCACGCGCUGGGCGAGUGGUGCACCCCAACUCCACAGGAACGGAAGCUCCUCCAGAUCUUGCCUUGUGUUAUCUUUCCAUCUGGCUAUUUAUUUGCAUCCUUUUUAAAUGUAAGUAAGUGCUUCCAUGAGUUCCGUGAGCUCCUCCAGCAAAUUAAUCAACCCCGAAGAGGGUGGGUCAUGGUAACCCCAACUUGAAGCCAGCUGGUCAGACAUUCUGGAAGCCCAGACUCGUGACUGGUGGGAAGGAGGGAGCAGUUCUGUGGAACUGAUUCCUCAACCUGUGGUUUCUGAGGCUAUUUCCAGGUAGAUGGUGUCACAGUUGAAUUAACUGGUGGA